GAAUACAGUGCUUCCUCACAGCAUAUGGGUACCACAAUUCGAUCAGAGAGGCCCUUUAAACUGUUGGCCUUAAGCAGGGUUGGACUUGGUUAGUACUUGGAUGGGAGACCACCUAGGAAGACCAAGUGCUGUAGAUG
This is a ribosomal RNA of Pteropus vampyrus (large flying fox), 137 nucleotides long. The record is from Ensembl. Lineage: Eukaryota; Metazoa; Chordata; Mammalia; Chiroptera; Pteropodidae.